CUUACUGAUGACCCACCGAUGUGUCCUUACCAGGGAAUCAGGUGCUAACGACCAGCUAGAGACUAGUUGGAGAGACACUCAGUGGUGUUUGGACACUCUUCUCAGGGCAGCCCUUGAAAUUCCAGGUCCAGUGUGAUGGA
RNAcentral lists this long non-coding RNA (140 nucleotides) under Bos indicus x Bos taurus (hybrid cattle). RNAcentral's name for it is "lncRNA (ENSBIXG00000000757.1)". The record is from RNAcentral. Lineage: Eukaryota; Metazoa; Chordata; Mammalia; Artiodactyla; Bovidae.